CACAGCUCCAAGCAAAGGCUACCUGCUGCCAGAAUGAUAAAGGGGACAAAGAAUAGAAGAAGGGACACUACUCAGUAUUUUGUCAUGUAAAAGCGGUGAAAGAAGGGAAAAAUCAGAGAAACAGAAAAAACAGAUGAACAUAAGGAAAUGAAGUGGUCUGGUUCCAGAGAAGGCACUGAGACUGGCCUGGUUUAACCUGCUGACCGGGGCUGUGGAUACGAUACACCACCUCGUUGCCAUCUUCCAGAGGUCGUGACCCUCUGCCCUGGAGACUGGCUGAGAAUACCUACGUAUAACCAGAUACAACAGAAGACGGUUCAGUUGCAGAGCAGCCACCAGAUUAAUGGCUGCUUUAUAUCAGAGCCAUACUGCCACCUGCUGUUUAAAAAAAGAAAAGGAGAUUUUGACAUUUUAACAAUUGCUCAUGAUUUUUCAAUGAAGUCAGUGUCCCAGCACCUACUUUCCCAUUGAGAGCAGUAGCUGCAUCACUGGUGCGAAACCAAUGUUCAUUUCUAAACUCGGUCAGCUGCAUCCUGUUGAGGUUGCCGCAGUCCGCAGUUAAAACUGCUGGUACUGGCAGCAGAGUAUUUGGGAGCUGGAAGAAGUCUGCAUUACGGCCCCUGAACUUGUAUCCAUUAAUUUCUGUGGGGUACCACUGGAAGGCAGAGAUGUUCAUAUACGGACAAGUUUCCAGGACUGUAACCUUUCUGGAGAAAAAUUUUACAAAGAAGAAAUUGUAAAUCCAAGCACGAUUUAACAUUAAUUUGUGAGGUAAUAUUCAUCUGUAUUACAAUAAGGUGUACCAUGCAACUCUUCACUCAUUUAGAACAUUUAGGACACUCACAUCUCACACUGACUAUGUUUAAGGAGGGAGAAUGCAAAUCGCUCCGCCACCUCAGCAAGGUGGCUGACACCUCGAGUGUCGACUCGACUGGGAUUGGCCAAGGCACACAACAGGUUAUAGGUCAAAUUCCGGCUGUUGUUCUGUAAAGGAGCUCUUUCUGCCUCUGCAAGCACCUGGCUCAGAAGACAGAAAGGAUGAGAAAGACUGAGGAGCUCUGAGUAAACUUUAGUGCUGUUAUUCACACAUCCAAAGCACUCACCUGAGUUACUUUCUUUAGUUUGACCUUCAGGGUCAUGCGCAUUGUGUGUGCUCAGAAUGCAUUUUUCUCUGUAGUCCCUACUUCUUAUUUACUCUUUCUAAACAUGUCCCUGUAUAUUCUGUUUAUUCUUUUGUGCAGCUGGUUAAGAAGAUGCAAUAAAUAGAUUCUAAUUUCAA
Long non-coding RNA from Astatotilapia calliptera (eastern happy), 1279 nucleotides. The record is from Ensembl. NCBI's taxonomy places the organism in Eukaryota, Metazoa, Chordata, Actinopteri, Cichliformes, Cichlidae.